UACACCAUGUUGAUGAUUUGUACCUUUUUUAUAUUGUUAAACAUAUUCAUACUUCAAAAUAUUCGAUUUGGAAAAACAAAGAAAGAGCCACCUAGUUGAAACUUGCAAGUCUGAGAAUAUAAUUAUAGUUUAGUGAAGAAGGAAUCCCAGGAGAGUCUGACAUUCAUGACAGUAACUCAUUUACAGCAGGCAUCGAGGAUGAUGGAAGGAAGAAUCUAGGUUGCAUUCAGAUGGGUUUUUUAAUGGGUGAAUGAUCUUCUGGCAGAUAUGACGAUGACAUCAGGUUAGUGAAGAUUACAGAGGAAGCCUUCAAGGUGCUGUACAUGGAUUGGCUCCUAGACAAAUAUUGAAGAUUGGCAGUGAACUGUGAAACUGUUUCUGCAUAUUUCAGCAGACUGCAGCAGAUAGGGGUUAAGCAUAUGCUUUUUUUAACUUAUGAGUGUUUUGUAUCUAAUUGCUUCACCCAUCUUUAUAUAGCUAAAGAGUCGCAACAUCAAAGUGAGCUUUGUAGUUGCAGCCAUUCAUUUAGCAGAUAACUUCAUAUUUUUAUGUUCUAUGUUUAUCAGUAUUUUGUGCAAGUCAUUUUAAGCCUUCAGAUUGAUUUCUACUCAUUAAACCCAUGUCAUAAAUACAUGGCCAUUUGGGCUAAAUAUGUCAAUCAAUGCAUUGCAGAAACCAUCCACAUAUGAUUAUAGUGAUGGUAUGAAAAAAAAAAAAAACAAAUAAAAAAAAAUGGGAGUUGUCUAUUCA
Long non-coding RNA from Cryptomeria japonica (Japanese cedar), 750 nucleotides. RefSeq lists it as uncharacterized. Lineage: Eukaryota; Viridiplantae; Streptophyta; Pinopsida; Cupressales; Cupressaceae. The transcript has 3 exons. The record is from RefSeq and is a predicted model, not a curated record.